Pelobates cultripes (western spadefoot toad) is the source of this 278-nucleotide non-coding RNA. Lineage: Eukaryota; Metazoa; Chordata; Amphibia; Anura; Pelobatidae. The record is from the annotation of a GenBank genome assembly.
AUUAUUAUAAUUAAAAGCAAUAGGGAGAAUUAUGGAUUCAUUGUCUGUUUUUGGCUUGUAUGUUAAAAGCUCAUUCCUGUUUCUGAGUUUUGUCUUAUUAAUAGUGUCUACUAGAUCUGUUUCUGGAUAAUUGUUUUCAAUAAAUUUGUUUUUUAAAAUUUCGGCUUGUUCAUUAAAAUCUUCUAAUUCAGUACAAUUCCUGCGUAAGUGUAAAAACUGGCUUUGUGGGCCAAUUUCAAGCCAGGGUUUAUGGUGGCAACUUAAUCUGUCAAUAGCUG